ACACCCACACAGCGCUUCCUAAAGGCAGGGACAGGAGCUGGCCUCCCUCGCCUGCUGGCAUGGGGCUGGACACAGGAGGAAGUGGCGUGGGGGCUGCCUGAGGGGAGUGAGGCGGCAGGAUAGCUUCCCCAGCAGGUCUCUGGCUCAGGUCCAGGUAUCUCCUCCUCCCCAUACCUCUGCCUCUCGCCUCCGCUCAGAAAAGCAGGUGCCCUUAAGAGCCAUCUCCACCCCCAUGUAAACUGCACACAGGAAGGGAGAGGCCACUCCGACUGCUCUGAGGUCCAGCACCCCCGGCCACCCCAGGACUCCCGAAGAGGCUGCUAGGUCGGCCUGCCCAAAGAGCGGUGAGGAGCGUAUGUGAAGAGCCCCAGUCUUGAGGAGCAGCCUGUAUCUGGAGAGAGGGGAGCCCCGGACCAGAGGUGGGGGACAGGAAGCCAUCGCCCCACCCUGCCUCCUCCCCCACCACAGGUGGCCCUCGCCCCGGCCCACCCGCGCCUCCCAGGCCCAGCCUCACCUGCUGCCGAGAGAGGACAGUGAUCCCCCAAAAGCCGGAGGUGGAGGAGGAGGAGGAAGAGGAGGAAGGAGCUGGAGGAGCCGGGGACUCGCCCGCUGAAGAUGCUCUUGUCAAGACAAUGAAUGAGAAGCAGCCGUGCGCCCGCCUCCGGGGUGGCCGCGCCCCUUGGGGCGGAGCUCUUCCAGGCCCGCCCUGCGCUCCCGGGCUCCCGCUGCGGCCGCCUCUCUCCCCGGCCCCUGCCCGUGCACCACGUUGGUCCCCAACCAUAGCGCAGGCUGCCAUCCCGGCUCCGGGAAGCGAAUCUAAACUUCUUUUUAAAAUGUCAAAACGCAA
This 847-nucleotide long non-coding RNA is filed under the name Homo sapiens (human). RNAcentral's name for it is "CORO1A antisense RNA 1, transcript variant 2 (CORO1A-AS1)". The record is from RNAcentral. Lineage: Eukaryota; Metazoa; Chordata; Mammalia; Primates; Hominidae.